This 2789-nucleotide ribosomal RNA is filed under the name human gut metagenome. RNAcentral describes it as "bacterial LSU rRNA". It matches the Rfam family "Bacterial large subunit ribosomal RNA". The record is from RNAcentral.
AGCGUACACGGUGGAUGCCCUGGCAGUCAGAGGCGAUGAAGGACGUGCUAAUCUGCGAUAAGCGUCGGUAAGGUGAUAUGAACCGUUAUAACCGGCGAUUUCCGAAUGGGGAAACCCAGUGUGUUUCGACACACUAUCAUUAACUGAAUCCAUAGGUUAAUGAGGCGAACCGGGGGAACUGAAACAUCUAAGUACCCCGAGGAAAAGAAAUCAACCGAGAUUCCCCCAGUAGCGGCGAGCGAACGGGGAGCAGCCCAGAGCCUGAAUCAGUGUGUGUGUUAGUGGAAGCGUCUGGAAAGGCGCGCGAUACAGGGUGACAGCCCCGUACACAAAAAUGCACAUGCUGUGAGCUCGAUGAGUAGGGCGGGACACGUGGUAUCCUGUCUGAAUAUGGGGGGACCAUCCUCCAAGGCUAAAUACUCCUGACUGACCGAUAGUGAACCAGUACCGUGAGGGAAAGGCGAAAAGAACCCCGGCGAGGGGAGUGAAAAAGAACCUGAAACCGUGUACGUACAAGCAGUGGGAGCACGCUUAGGCGUGUGACUGCGUACCUUUUGUAUAAUGGGUCAGCGACUUAUAUUCUGUAGCAAGGUUAACCGAAUAGGGGAGCCGAAGGGAAACCGAGUCUUAACUGGGCGUUAAGUUGCAGGGUAUAGACCCGAAACCCGGUGAUCUAGCCAUGGGCAGGUUGAAGGUUGGGUAACACUAACUGGAGGACCGAACCGACUAAUGUUGAAAAAUUAGCGGAUGACUUGUGGCUGGGGGUGAAAGGCCAAUCAAACCGGGAGAUAGCUGGUUCUCCCCGAAAGCUAUUUAGGUAGCGCCUCGUGAAUUCAUCUCCGGGGGUAGAGCACUGUUUCGGCAAGGGGGUCAUCCCGACUUACCAACCCGAUGCAAACUGCGAAUACCGGAGAAUGUUAUCACGGGAGACACACGGCGGGUGCUAACGUCCGUCGUGAAGAGGGAAACAACCCAGACCGCCAGCUAAGGUCCCAAAGUCAUGGUUAAGUGGGAAACGAUGUGGGAAGGCCCAGACAGCCAGGAUGUUGGCUUAGAAGCAGCCAUCAUUUAAAGAAAGCGUAAUAGCUCACUGGUCGAGUCGGCCUGCGCGGAAGAUGUAACGGGGCUAAACCAUGCACCGAAGCUGCGGCAGCGACGCUUAUGCGUUGUUGGGUAGGGGAGCGUUCUGUAAGCCUGCGAAGGUGUGCUGUGAGGCAUGCUGGAGGUAUCAGAAGUGCGAAUGCUGACAUAAGUAACGAUAAAGCGGGUGAAAAGCCCGCUCGCCGGAAGACCAAGGGUUCCUGUCCAACGUUAAUCGGGGCAGGGUGAGUCGACCCCUAAGGCGAGGCCGAAAGGCGUAGUCGAUGGGAAACAGGUUAAUAUUCCUGUACUUGGUGUUACUGCGAAGGGGGGACGGAGAAGGCUAUGUUGGCCGGGCGACGGUUGUCCCGGUUUAAGCGUGUAGGCUGGUUUUCCAGGCAAAUCCGGAAAAUCAAGGCUGAGGCGUGAUGACGAGGCACUACGGUGCUGAAGCAACAAAUGCCCUGCUUCCAGGAAAAGCCUCUAAGCAUCAGGUAACAUCAAAUCGUACCCCAAACCGACACAGGUGGUCAGGUAGAGAAUACCAAGGCGCUUGAGAGAACUCGGGUGAAGGAACUAGGCAAAAUGGUGCCGUAACUUCGGGAGAAGGCACGCUGAUAUGUAGGUGAAGUCCCUCGCGGAUGGAGCUGAAAUCAGUCGAAGAUACCAGCUGGCUGCAACUGUUUAUUAAAAACACAGCACUGUGCAAACACGAAAGUGGACGUAUACGGUGUGACGCCUGCCCGGUGCCGGAAGGUUAAUUGAUGGGGUUAGCCGCAAGGCGAAGCUCUUGAUCGAAGCCCCGGUAAACGGCGGCCGUAACUAUAACGGUCCUAAGGUAGCGAAAUUCCUUGUCGGGUAAGUUCCGACCUGCACGAAUGGCGUAAUGAUGGCCAGGCUGUCUCCACCCGAGACUCAGUGAAAUUGAACUCGCUGUGAAGAUGCAGUGUACCCGCGGCAAGACGGAAAGACCCCGUGAACCUUUACUAUAGCUUGACACUGAACAUUGAGCCUUGAUGUGUAGGAUAGGUGGGAGGCUUAGAAGUGUGGACGCCAGUCUGCAUGGAGCCGACCUUGAAAUACCACCCUUUAAUGUUUGAUGUUCUAACGUUGACCCGUAAUCCGGGUUGCGGACAGUGUCUGGUGGGUAGUUUGACUGGGGCGGUCUCCUCCUAAAGAGUAACGGAGGAGCACGAAGGUUGGCUAAUCCUGGUCGGACAUCAGGAGGUUAGUGCAAUGGCAUAAGCCAGCUUGACUGCGAGCGUGACGGCGCGAGCAGGUGCGAAAGCAGGUCAUAGUGAUCCGGUGGUUCUGAAUGGAAGGGCCAUCGCUCAACGGAUAAAAGGUACUCCGGGGAUAACAGGCUGAUACCGCCCAAGAGUUCAUAUCGACGGCGGUGUUUGGCACCUCGAUGUCGGCUCAUCACAUCCUGGGGCUGAAGUAGGUCCCAAGGGUAUGGCUGUUCGCCAUUUAAAGUGGUACGCGAGCUGGGUUUAGAACGUCGUGAGACAGUUCGGUCCCUAUCUGCCGUGGGCGCUGGAGAACUGAGGGGGGCUGCUCCUAGUACGAGAGGACCGGAGUGGACGCAUCACUGGUGUUCGGGUUGUCAUGCCAAUGGCACUGCCCGGUAGCUAAAUGCGGAAGAGAUAAGUGCUGAAAGCAUCUAAGCACGAAACUUGCCCCGAGAUGAGUUCUCCCUGACUCCUUGA